UGGGGAAUAUUGCACAAUGGGCGCAAGCCUGAUGCAGCCAUGCCGCGUGUGUGAAGAAGGCCUUCGGGUUGUAAAGCACUUUCAGCGAGGAGGAAGGUGGUGAGCUUAAUACGCUCAUCAAUUGACGUUACUCGCAGAAGAAGCACCGGCUAACUCCGUGCCAGCAGCCGCGGUAAUACGGAGGGUGCAAGCGUUAAUCGGAAUUACUGGGCGUAAAGCGCACGCAGGCGGUUUGUUAAGUCAGAUGUGAAAUCCCCGGGCUCAACCUGGGAACUGCAUUUGAAACUGGCAAGCUAGAGUCUCGUAGAGGGGGGUAGAAUUCCAGGUGUAGCGGUGAAAUGCGUAGAGAUCUGGAGGAAUACCGGUGGCGAAGGCGGCCCCCCUGGACGAAGACCGACGCUCAGGUGCGAAAGCGUGGGGCAGCAAACAGGAUUAGAUACCCUGGUAGUCCACGCUGUAAACGAUGUCGAUUUGGAGGUUGUGCCCUUGAGGCGUGGCUUCCGGAGCUAACGCGUUAAAUCGACCGCCUGGGGAGUACGGCCGCAAGGUUAAAACUUAAAUGAAUUGAC
This 569-nucleotide ribosomal RNA is filed under the name uncultured bacterium. RNAcentral describes it as "partial 16S ribosomal RNA". It matches the Rfam family "Bacterial small subunit ribosomal RNA", at positions 355 to 914 of the family's 1533-position model. The record is from RNAcentral.